This 266-nucleotide ribosomal RNA is filed under the name uncultured bacterium. Its description in RNAcentral is "partial 16S ribosomal RNA". It matches the Rfam family "Bacterial small subunit ribosomal RNA", at positions 88 to 354 of the family's 1533-position model. The record is from RNAcentral.
UGACUUAGCGGCGGACGGGUGAGUAACGCGUGGGCAACCUGCCUUACACAGGGGGAUAACAAUUAGAAAUGAUUGCUAAUACCGCAUAAGACCCCAGUACCGCAUGGUACAGGGGUAAAAACUGAGGUGGUGUAAGAUGGGCCCGCGUCUGAUUAGGUAGUUGGUGGGGUAGAAGCCUACCAAGCCGACGAUCAGUAGCCGACCUGAGAGGGCGACCGGCCACAUUGGGACUGAGACACGGCCCAAACUCCUACGGAAGGCAGCAG